Molecule: RNA transcript, 4283 nt
Organism: Spodoptera frugiperda (fall armyworm)
Lineage: Eukaryota; Metazoa; Arthropoda; Insecta; Lepidoptera; Noctuidae
Gene name: mediator of RNA polymerase II transcription subunit 25
Exons: 16
Source: RefSeq, a predicted model, not a curated record
GACAUUUCUGACUUCUGUUAGCUUCAGUCAGUUUAUUUUUCAUGCACUCUGCGCUGUGUUUGUUCGUACUUCUAAUAACUAGUUUGGUAAAUGUAUAAAGAAAUAAAAGUGUUAUUAUAGACAAAAAUGGUAGUUAACGCACCCGAUUCGCCUGUUCAGGCUGAAGUAAUCUUCGUGAUAGAGGUUACGGCAGCAAACGGCGCGUAUAUUGGCGAACUUAAAACAAACUAUAUUAUUCCUACAUUAGAAUAUUUCCAUGGAGGUGCAUUAGAAGAAGGAGGUGGUAACGGAUCAGUCUAUGCAAUAGUUACGUAUAAGACAUCCGAUGUCCAUCCUGGCGUACCGGUUGGUACCUUCGGACCUUUCACAUGUCCGCAAACAGUAUUGGAGACUGUUGAUAAAAUACAGUUUGUCGGUGGUCACAUAGAGAACAAAGCAUGUAUGACGGAAGCGUUGGCGACGGCGCUCGAUUGUUUCGACGACCUCGGCCGCACUGACUUGCCGAUGCAUUUGCUGCUACUCUGCUGUUCACCGCCCUACUCAGCGUAUGGCGGAGGCCUGGUGCCACCUGGUGCACCGGCGACAGUGGAGCAAGCGGCCCGCAUGUUGGCGGAGCGCGGCGUGCAAGUAUCGAUAGCGUCGGCGCGCCGCUUCCAACAACUGCAUGCCUUGUAUGAAAGUGCGGGCGGGGAACUCCAUCAAGCACAACAGAGGAAUUAUGCCAAGGAUCCCCGUCACUUGGUGUUACUGCGCGGGUACAGUUUGAAAGAGAGGCCGCCGAGCCCCGCGCCGCCCCCGGUGCCUGACAUACAAGCUGAUGUCUAUGGACAGGGGCGCGGUGCAGCAGGGCCGGCUCGUGCGGGGGCCCCGAACUUCCCGCGGCCCGCCGUCGCCGCUGCCACUGGAGUGGGACCCGUCGGGAAUGUCGCCGGGGUGCCCGGAGUCGCUGGCGUUGGUACGGCUGCCUGCGGUCGGGGCGCGGGUAACUGGCUAGCCCCUCCCCGCGGGCCCCUGUACGCCAACUCGGCCCUCCUCACACAGCUCGCGCAGCCCUCCUACCCUCCGCCGCCGCCACCCGCGCAGACUGGCCACCAACGUAUGCCUACAAUGGUGACGCCGGGUCCGUCCGGUACUCAGCUGCAACGCUCCUAUAUCUGGAGUGGAGUUAUUGAGUGGAUGGAGAAGGGAAAGACCGCCGGAGACCAGAAAACUACCAAACACUUACCAUGCCAGGUAUCAGCAAGCACGAAGGACAUAGAGCCUGAGCUGAAGGUGGACACGUGGCCCAGCAAGCUCCUGAUGCAGCUGAUGCCGAAGCAGUUGAUCAGCAACAUCGGCGGCCAGUACCUCAAGGAUAGCAAGUCCGUGCUCUUCCACCUGCAGCCCAGUGAAGCUUUGGACUCCUUGACUAAAGUCAUGGUUAACGGCUUUGCGGGUUGUGUCCACUUCUCCCCAAUGCCGACGCCGCCGCAGUGCGACAUCAAAGUACUGAUACUACUAUACACUCCGGAUAAGAAGGCCUACUUAGGCUUCAUACCCAACAACCAAGCUACAUUCGUCGAUCGACUUAGAAAAGUGAUUCAACAGCAAAAGAUCAGUCAGAUCAUCAGCAAGCAGCAGCUGCCGGCCGCCGUCAGUAACGCGGGCGGGAUGGCGCAGAACAUGCCCAACGCCACUAUGGCCGGUUCUGGGGCAAUGCCGACCGCAGGAAUGUCGUCAGGUGGGAUGGGAUCGGGCAUGUCCGCGGGCAUGCAGUCCGUGCCCGUGGGCAACGUGCCCGGCGUGGGCAACGUGGGCAGUGUGGCCAACGUGGGCAACGUGGGUCCAAUGUCUGGACCUGGACCGAGCCAGGGGAUGGUGCAGUCUCAGAUGCAACAACACCCACAGGGUAUGAUGAUAGGCGGCUCAAUAGGGCAACAGGUACAGCAGGUGGGAGGGAAAGGUCCUCGGCCAGUUACCCAGUUGGAUGGCCUGGAGGCAGCUCGGCAGCAGAACUUGGAGAAGAUCCAGCAUCUGCAGCAGACAUUGGAGGCGGCCCACCAGCAGGAAGCUCAGUUCAAGUCACAGAUGGACAUCAUGUCGCAUUUGCACGCAGCCCAGCAGCAGGAGCAACACUAUAAACAGCUUGAGGAACAACAACGCAAGCACCAGUUGCAGCAACAGCUGCAGCAACAGUUGCGCGGCGGGGGGGGCGCCACCCACCCCCCUCGCAUCAUCCGGCCCCUGCUGCCCUCCAACCCUGGGCUCAGGCAUCUGCUGCAGCAGCAACAGCAGCAGCCGCGCGGGCCGCGCCCCCACAUGUGAGGCGCCGCGCCCCCGCGCCCCCUCGCCCCCGUCUUUCACCUGCGCCCUUCCUUGCACGCACAUGGCCGCGCACAACAGCCGCAAUACAGACCAGGAGGCGGAGCCCCCAGGCCGGCGUCGCAGCCCCAGCAGUUCGACGACGUGAACAACUACUCCGACUUCAUAUAGACCUCAGCACCGCAUGUGUGGACUCUAAUUGAUGAUCGUGAUUGAUUCUGCUUACUCAAAUAACCCGCUAAGUUGUUAUAAGGAAGUCUUUUAGAUUUAUUUUGUCUUCAGUGGAUAGCUUUAUCUUGAGCUAACUGUGUGAAUCUCAAUUUUUUUCUGGUAAGUUCCCAAUUUUUUAACCGACUUCCCAAAAAGGAGGAGGUUCUCAUUUCCCGAUCAAAAUUCUUUUUUAUGUGACAUGAAAAUGUUACCGUGUAAAAUGCAUUUGUAUUGCGUGUUCAAGAAUCAAUUCAGUAUGUUUUUUUUUUACCAAAAUGUUUAAUUUAACGUUUCAUAAUACAUGUCCGAAUACGGAAAUGCUACUCAAUUUUAAGUUGUACUUAAAUGUCGUGCUAUCUCUGUCAUUUUAUAAAGAAUUGAUAGGGACAGAACUAGUUUUAAGAGCGUCUUAAAAUUGAGUAGCGUUUGAGUAUUCGGACAUGAGUUAAAAAAAGUAUUUUCUUAACGAUGUCAAGUAAGUCCACUACACAUGCAAUUGAUAGGAUCAAAUAUAAUUAUUAUGAAGUUUUAUAUAAAUAUGUACAAAAAACAGAUGUUUUGUCUGUACUGGGUUGCUUUGCUUAGCCGUAUAGACGAAUCAAUAUUACUAAGUGUACUCUGUUCAUUUUAGCCAAAUAUAAUUGAUACGUAGGUAGAAUUCUGUGUAAUUUUAUUUAAGUUUGAUUUUAAAAUAAUACUUCGCCGUACUAAAAUUAUUUGAGUGAUAUUUUUUUCAAUGUUUGUCAAAAGCUCUUUCUUCUAUAUUUUUGUAAUAACUAUCGUGAGACGUACUAAAUUAACUAAAAAAAUCACGGUUUACUCACGUACAUUAAUGGAGAAAAAUUCUACUAGUUUCGAGUCACAGAGCUACUCUUCUGCGCACGCUGCUCAUGAUUGAGAGUCCCUCUGUUACUCAAAACUAGUAAAGCUUUUGUUCAUUAAUUUACCUGAAUAAACCGUGAUUUUUCGUAAAGGUCUGUCUUCUAUUAUUAUUUAUUUUAUUAUAUUUAUCCUUCUUCUACUUAUAAUUGUAUACACUAUCCAUCCAUUUUUCUUUGAUAUCUAUUUAUAUAAUUUUAUUCAAGUAUGAAUAUUUAGUCUCUCAGUUUUAAAAGUAAAUCAACAUAUUUAUUGCGUUUAUUUAACGUCGAAAAAAAGAGGAAAAGUAAUUAUUUUAACAUGUUCACCGCUAUGUCGGGCACUGGUGACCGAUGCUUAGCAAAGGAUUUGCCUUCAACAGUUUUCUUUCGGCAGUGAAUGCUUUAAUGAUACCAUUUGAUGAAUUCAUAAAUAAUUUUAGUAUAAAAUUAAAUAUCCUACAAAAACACCCUUUUUUAAGUCAUAAAACGAGCAGAGUACACGACUUCCGUCAUUAUUAUAUAAAAUGAUUCCAAAAAAUUGUGUUGUAUUAUAAAAUAUAAUUCUUUAAUCAAAUGAAUUAUGUGAAUCUAUUGUAUUAUUGUAAAUUUUCCUAUAAUAUAGUUAUAUGAAUAAUUAUAUUACUAUAUAAUUGUAAUUAAUAAUUGUUGACUGAUAGAUUAAUUCGUUUUAGCUAUUAAUCACGACUAUUUAAUUUUAGCCGUGAGAUUUUGUACAGCGUUUGUACGUAUUGUUACAAUAUAGUGAAAUUACCUAUCGACGGUUGAGAGGCUAAUUCUUUUAAGAGACAUUUAUUACGAUAUUGAGUUAUAUACAUCAUUCGAUGGAGAAAAAUUCGGUGAUUCCGAAUAUGUAAAAUUCUCUAAAAUUACAUUUUCAAAUAUUUCUUAUAA